Molecule: ribosomal RNA, 451 nt
Filed under: uncultured bacterium
Lineage: Bacteria
Description: bacterial SSU rRNA
Rfam family: Bacterial small subunit ribosomal RNA
Source: RNAcentral
AUUGAACGCUGGCGGCAUGCUUUACACAUGCAAGUCGAACGGUAGACCCUUUCGGGGGUUGAGAGUGGCGAACGGGUGAGUAAUGCAUCGGAACGUGCCUAGUCGUGGGGGAUAACGUAGCGAAAGUUACGCUAAUACCGCAUACGCACUGAGGUGGAAAGCGGGGGACCGUAAGGCCUCGCGCGAUUGGAGCGGCCGAUGUCGGAUUAGCUAGUUGGUGAGGUAAAGGCUCACCAAGGCGACGAUCCGUAGCGGGUCUGAGAGGAUGAUCCGCCACACUGGGACUGAGACACGGCCCAGACUCCUACGGGAGGCAGCAGUGGGGAAUUUUGGACAAUGGGCGCAAGCCUGAUCCAGCCAUGCCGCGUGCGGGAAGAAGGCCUCGGUUGUAACCGCUUCGGUACAGAAGAAUACGCAUGGACGUAAUACUACUCGUGUGGAGUGACGGUAC